This 872-nucleotide long non-coding RNA is filed under the name Capra hircus (goat). Its description in RNAcentral is "lncRNA (ENSCHIG00010010855.1)". Lineage: Eukaryota; Metazoa; Chordata; Mammalia; Artiodactyla; Bovidae. The record is from RNAcentral.
UGCUUUCAAGGGUCUUUUUUUUUUUUUUNNNNNNNNNNNNNNNNNUUUUUUUUUUUUUUUGCCCUGGAGGGAAAAAAAAAAAGAGAGGAGAAAAAGCUAAUAAAGCAAUCACCAAAUGCUGAGCCCCUGGCUCUAAGCCUGCGGAUUCUGGUUGUAGCCUUGGCACCAACAGGCUGGGGGGCUUUCAUUAAAAAGAAGCGGAGGGGAACGAGCAGUCAGUGGCUCGACCCGCAUGCCUGCCGCCGGCUGUCCGUCUGGGCGUCUGUCUCCCUUUGUUCCCGCCUUCCUCCCCUCCCCCGCCCCCUCUCAGAUUCUCUCCAGCCUCUUCGGCUCGUAGUUCCGGCUGGCUCUCCAGCCCCGAACACUUCCAGCCCCAGGCAUCUUUCUGCCUUCGGCCCAGCGCACUCCAGGCCUUCACUCUCUUCCCCUUUCUGCUCCGCUUUUCAAUUUAUUCUGCCUUUUAUUGCUCGCUAUUGCAGAGACUAUUGCCCUGGAGACAGGAAUGGUUCUAGUAGGGAAAGGCACUCUUGGUGGAUUUCAUUAACAUUCCUGCCCGGUCCGUCUGCGGUGGGGGCGGGUAGCUGGCCCGGCAGGGGAGGAAGGGGCCCUGGAGGGCAUUCGACAGACAGUGGAGGCUGAGGGGGAUCUCAGGGACUCGCCUGUCUCCCUCAGCACUCUGCGCCUUCUCAGAGCUCACCUCCAUUCAGAGCUGAGGCCCCUGGAACCAGACAGCACUCUCCCCUUAGUUCUGGCCUCACGAAGCAAAGCAGAGUCCUUCUCCCCUCCCACUUGCAGCUGGCUGGACUUUGUCAAACACACAAGCACCCGCUCCCAUGCCCUGAGGGGUAGGCCGGAUGGAGGCAGGUUUACAU